UUUCCGUAGGUGAACCUGCGGAAGGAUCAUUAUUGAAUGAACUUGGUAGUGGUUGUAGCUGGCUCUCUCGAGAGCAUGUGCACACCCGCCAUCUUUAUCUUUCCACCUGUGCACUUCUUGUAGAUUUUGGGAUUUGAAAACUUAUCCGGGGCAACUCGGUCGGGAGGAACUGCUGUAGCAAUACGGCUCUCCUUGACAAGUCUUCAAAGUCUAUGUUUUUCAUAUACCCCAUAGUAUGUAACAGAAUGUAUACAAAUGAGCCUUAGUGCUUAUAAAACUUAUACAACUUUCAACAACGGAUCUCUUGGCUCUC
RNAcentral lists this unclassified non-coding RNA (313 nucleotides) under plant metagenome. RNAcentral describes it as "partial contains small subunit ribosomal RNA, internal transcribed spacer 1, and 5.8S ribosomal RNA". The record is from RNAcentral.